Molecule: small nucleolar RNA, 98 nt
Organism: Oryzias melastigma (Indian medaka)
Lineage: Eukaryota; Metazoa; Chordata; Actinopteri; Beloniformes; Adrianichthyidae
Product: small nucleolar RNA U13
Exons: 1
Source: RefSeq, a predicted model, not a curated record
AUCCUUCGGUUCAUGAAAAUGAUGAUCGGUGCGUUCACGAGCCUUCGUGAGAGGUGCUGCCUUCACUUGUUACGCUGAGCGCCUCAGCCCUUCUGAUC